RNAcentral lists this ribosomal RNA (447 nucleotides) under uncultured bacterium. Its description in RNAcentral is "bacterial SSU rRNA". It matches the Rfam family "Bacterial small subunit ribosomal RNA", at positions 355 to 825 of the family's 1533-position model. The record is from RNAcentral.
UCGGGAAUUUUGGGCAAUGGGCGCAAGCCUGAUCCAGCCAUGCCGCGUGAAGGAUGAAGUAUUUCGGUAUGUAAACUUCGAAAGAAUAGGAAGAAUAAAUGACGGUACUAUUUAUAAGGUCCGGCUAACUACGUGCCAGCAGCCGCGGUAAUACGUAGGGACCAAGCGUUGUUCGGAUUUACUGGGCGUAAAGGGCGCGUAGGCGGCAAUUCAAGUCAUCUGUGAAAUCUCCGGGCUUAACUCGGAACGGUCAGAUGAUACUGCUUUGCUAGAGUGCAGAAGGGGCAAUCGGAAUUCUUGGUGUAGCGGUGAAAUGCGUAGAUAUCAAGAGGAACACCUGAGGUGAAGACGGGUUGCUGGGCUGACACUGACGCUGAGGCGCGAAAGCCAGGGGAGCAAACGGGAUUAGAUACCCUUGUAGUCCCUGAGCGGGCUGGCAAGGCGCAU